GACGAACGCUGGCGGCGUGCUUAACACAUGCAAGUCGAACGGAAAGGCCCUGCUUUUGUGGGGUGCUCGAGUGGCGAACGGGUGAGUAACACGUGAGUAACCUGCCCUUGACUUUGGGAUAACUUCAGGAAACUGGGGCUAAUACCGCAUAGGAGCUCCUGCUGCAUGGUGGGGGUUGGAAAGUUUCGGCGGUUGGGGAUGGACUCGCGGCUUAUCAGCUUGUUGGUGGGGUAGUGGCUUACCAAGGCUUUGACGGGUAGCCGGCCUGAGAGGGUGACCGGCGACAUUGGGACUGAGAGACGGCGCAGACUCCUACGGGAGGCAGCAGUGGGGAAUAUUGCACAAUGGGCGGAAGCCUGAUGCAGCAACGCCGCGUGCGGGAUGACGGCCUUCGGGUUGUAAACCGCUUUCGCCUGUGACGAAGCGUGAGUGACGGUAAUGGGUAAAGAAGCACCGGCUAACUACGUG
RNAcentral lists this ribosomal RNA (468 nucleotides) under uncultured bacterium. Its description in RNAcentral is "partial 16S ribosomal RNA". It matches the Rfam family "Bacterial small subunit ribosomal RNA", at positions 28 to 507 of the family's 1533-position model. The record is from RNAcentral.